AGAGUUUGAUCAUGGCUCAGAUUGAACGCUGGCGGCAGGCCUAACACAUGCAAGUCGAACGGUAACAGGAAGAAGCUUGCUUCUUUGCUGACGAGUGGCGGACGGGUGAGUAAUGUCUGGGAAACUGCCUGAUGGAGGGGGAUAACUACUGGAAACGGUAGCUAAUACCGCAUAACGUCGCAAGACCAAAGAGGGGGACCUUCGGGCCUCUUGCCAUCGGAUGUGCCCAGAUGGGAUUAGCUAGUAGGUGGGGUAACGGCUCACCUAGGCGACGAUCCCUAGCUGGUCUGAGAGGAUGACCAGCCACACUGGAACUGAGACACGGUCCAGACUCCUACGGGAGGCAGCAGUGGGGAAUAUUGCACAAUGGGCGCAAGCCUGAUGCAGCCAUGCCGCGUGUAUGAAGAAGGCCUUCGGGUUGUAAAGUACUUUCAGCGGGGAGGAAGGGAGUAAAGUUAAUACCUUUGCUCAUUGACGUUACCCGCAGAAGAAGCACCGGCUAACUCCGUGCCAGCAGCCGCGGUAAUACGGAGGGCGCAAGCGUUAAUCGGAAUUACUGGGCGUAAAGCGCACGCAGGCGGUUUGUUAAGUCAGAUGUGAAAUCCCCGGGCUCAACCUGGGAACUGCAUCUGAUACUGGCAAGCUUGAGUCUCGUAGAGGGGGGUAGAAUUCCAGGUGUAGCGGUGAAAUGCGUAGAGAUCUGGAGGAAUACCGGUGGCGAAGGCGGCCCCCUGGACGAAGACUGACGCUCAGGUGCGAAAGCGUGGGGAGCAAACAGGAUUAGAUACCCUGGUAGUCCACGCCGUAAACGGUGUCGACUUGGAGGUUGUGCCCUUGAGGCGUGGCUUCCGGAGCUAACGCGUUAAGUCGACCGCCUGGGGAGUACGGCCGCAAGGUUAAAACUCAAAUGAAUUGACGGGGGCCCGCACAAGCGGUGAGCAUGUGGUUUAAUUCGAUGCAACGCGAAGAACCUUACCUGGUCUUGACUUCCACGGAAGUUUUCAGAGAUGAGAAUGUGCCUUCGGGAACCGUGAGACAGGUGCUGCAUGGCUGUCGUCAGCUCGUGUUGUGAAAUGUUGGGUUAAGUCCCGCAACGAGCGCAACCCUUAUCCUUUGUUGCCAGCGGUCCGGCCGGGAACUCAAAGGAGACUGCCAGUGAUAAACUGGAGGAAGGUGGGGAUGACGUCAAGUCAUCAUGGCCCUUACGACCAGGGCUACACACGUGCUACAAUGGCGCAUACAAAGAGAAGCGACCUCGCGAGAGCAAGCGGACCUCAUAAAGUGCGUCGUAGUCCGGAUUGGAGUCUGCAACUCGACUCCAUGAAGUCGGAAUCGCUAGUAAUCGUGGAUCAGAAUGCCACGGUGAAUACGUUCCCGGGCCUUGUACACACCGCCCGUCACACCAUGGGAGUGGGUUGCAAAAGAAGUAGGUAGCUUAACCUUCGGGAGGGCGCUUACCACUUUGUGAUUCAUGACUGGGGUGAAGUCGUAACAAGGUAACCGUAGGGGAGCCUGCGGUUG
Molecule: ribosomal RNA, 1521 nt
Filed under: metagenome
Description: bacterial SSU rRNA
Rfam family: Bacterial small subunit ribosomal RNA
Source: RNAcentral